Molecule: ribosomal RNA, 513 nt
Filed under: Triticum aestivum (bread wheat)
Lineage: Eukaryota; Viridiplantae; Streptophyta; Magnoliopsida; Poales; Poaceae
Description: partial small subunit ribosomal RNA
Source: RNAcentral
AUGGCGAUGCAACAGACCAGGGACCCCACCUCCAAGCUCCCCUCCGCCUCCCCCUUCGCCGGCACCAGCCCUCCCCCAUACUACCACCACCACUACGGCACCUUCUCCCCUCCUGCUCCGCCGCCGCCCGUCGCUGCAGUCGCCUACGACCCCUCCCUGAAAGGACGCAGUGCUCAGGGCGUUGUUGCUUUCCCGUGCACUAUCCAGCAGCAGGUCUUCGUGGAGGGCCUCCCAGUCCGGGAGCCGCGGCUGCCGUUCUGCGGCGUCGGCGUCGGCUGGGCUUUGUUCUUACUAGGGUUCUUCUUGGCUGCAAUUCCCUGGUAUAUUGGUGCUUUUCUUCUAUUCUUUGUUGCUUUGGAUCACCGGGAGAAGCCUGGAUUGAUUGUCUGCACAGUUGCUUUUGUGUCGAAUGGUACAUCUACAAUGGCAUGUCGCAAUAGAAAGUUUGCCUCUCUCGACCUGAAUGUUACACGGAGAGUUGUGCCAAAGAAAUUAGGUCAGUUGAACUGUUGA